UACGUAGGGUGCAAGCGUUAAUCGGAAUUACUGGGCGUAAAGCGUGCGCAGGCGGUUUUUUAAGCCAGAUGUGAAAUCCCCGGGCUUAACCUGGGAACUGCAUUUGGGACUGGAAGGCUAGAGUAUGGCAGAGGGGGGUGGAAUUCCACGUGUAGCAGUGAAAUGCGUAGAGAUGUGGAGGAACACCGAUGGCGAAGGCAGCCCCCUGGGCCUAUACUGACGCUCAUGCACGAAAGCGUGGGGAGCAAACAGG
This 253-nucleotide ribosomal RNA is filed under the name uncultured bacterium. RNAcentral's name for it is "partial 16S ribosomal RNA". It matches the Rfam family "Bacterial small subunit ribosomal RNA", at positions 524 to 776 of the family's 1533-position model. The record is from RNAcentral.